GAGGGUAUAGCUCAGUGGUAGAGUGCAUGCUUAGCAUGCAUGAGGUCCUGGGUUCAAUUCCCAGUACCUACA
Molecule: transfer RNA, 72 nt
Filed under: Camelus bactrianus (Bactrian camel)
Lineage: Eukaryota; Metazoa; Chordata; Mammalia; Artiodactyla; Camelidae
Also listed under: 2 other names
Rfam family: tRNA
About the family: Transfer RNA (tRNA) molecules are approximately 80 nucleotides in length.
Source: Rfam by way of RNAcentral